UCUCUCUCUUAGAAAUAAAUAAAACAUUAAAAAAAAGAAUAAUAAAGUUUAACAAGCAGAAGCAUAGACUCUUAAAAUGAAAACAACGUUGAACGUUUCCUAUGUAAACAUGCUCUGAUCGGGGAAGGCAAGGUUAAGUGAAAUAUAAAACUCCACUUCAAUUAUUCAUUAAUUCCCUCUUUCCCUCAUCAUCACUAUUAUUUUUUGGAUGCCACAGUGUCUUGGGGACCAGGGAUCCAGGGAGAGACCCCCCCCAGUAGGCAGGACAGGGGUUCUUUACCACAGGGGUUACAUCCGCCUUAGUGGGUGUUAAACCCAAGGGCAGCGGAGGAGGGAGGCUUGGCUCUCAUCUGGGUCAUGCCAGCCUCUUCCAUGUCCCUCCCCUGCUCCUUUACCUUCAUGCUGCGCGUUUACCUUGAUGCAAGACUCGCCUGUCCCUCCCGGAGCCGGAAACAAUCUAUGCCUGCGGUUGUGGGCCCCGCCCCCCACCAUUUCCUACAGCCGCUGAACGUAACAGACAAUAAACCUUUAUCUUCUUGCCAUUUACCUUCAGCCAGAAAAGCAAACAACACAAAGACUCUCUGAGUGGGCGCCGCAGGAGUGUCUACAGGGCAAUUAUUCAGCCGGGCCAAGUCUCCAGAGCAGUCCGCCAGCCCCCAUGAGCUCUUGGUGGUGGGAAAGCAGAGAAGUGCUGGUGCGAAGAAAGGAAGGCCGGGGCUCCGUCAGUUAAGCAUCCGACUCUUGGUUUCAGCUGAGGGUUUCAACCUGGGGUCCAUGGACGCCCACCCCCACCCCAGGCAGCUGAGGAGAGAAUCCGAUGGGUUUGUAAACUUGGAUCGAAAAAAAAUUUACAUCUUUGUCUUCAUUAACUUCCAGCGGAAAUCUAGCGUUUUCUUCAAUCGUGUAAGCCAGCAACCUAGCAGGAUCUGUAUCACCUUGCAAUCAUUGCGGGGAUCUUAAAUACCAUUUAUGUUCUUCUAGUUUGAAAAUACUGACAUUAUUACGCUGCUAAUGUAUUAAUCAAGAAGCACCACAUAACACACAUAUUCACGUAGUUUCAUCAUUGUGAUUCAAUAAAAUUGGUUUCCUUUGUAGUCC
Long non-coding RNA from Hyaena hyaena (striped hyena), 1098 nucleotides. RefSeq lists it as uncharacterized. The record is from RefSeq and is a predicted model, not a curated record. The transcript is spliced from 3 exons. Lineage: Eukaryota; Metazoa; Chordata; Mammalia; Carnivora; Hyaenidae.